Pteropus alecto (black flying fox) is the source of this 119-nucleotide non-coding RNA. NCBI's taxonomy places the organism in Eukaryota, Metazoa, Chordata, Mammalia, Chiroptera, Pteropodidae. The record is from Rfam.
GUCUACGGCCAUGCCACCCUGAACACGUCUGAUCUCAUGAGAUCUCGGAAGCUAAGCAGGGUCGGGCCCGGUUAAUACUUGGAUGGGAGACCACCUGGGAAGACCGGGUGCUGUAGGCU